Molecule: non-coding RNA, 27 nt
Filed under: Homo sapiens (human)
Lineage: Eukaryota; Metazoa; Chordata; Mammalia; Primates; Hominidae
Source: RNAcentral
UAAUCCCAACAGGUGGGUGUCACUGUU